CGCGUAGGCGGUUCGUUAAGUUGCUGGUGAAAUCCCGGGGCUCAACUCCGGGGCUGCCGGCAAGACUGGCGGGCUAGAGCACGGUAGAGGCGGAUGGAAUUCCCGGUGUAGCGGUGGAAUGCGUAGAUAUCGGGAAGAAUACCGGUGGCGAAGGCGUUCCGCUGGGCCGUUGCUGACGCUGAGGCGCGACAGCGUGGGGAAGCAAACA
This 208-nucleotide ribosomal RNA is filed under the name uncultured bacterium. Its description in RNAcentral is "partial 16S ribosomal RNA". It matches the Rfam family "Bacterial small subunit ribosomal RNA", at positions 568 to 774 of the family's 1533-position model. The record is from RNAcentral.